Molecule: ribosomal RNA, 1021 nt
Filed under: Thrigmopoeus truculentus
Lineage: Eukaryota; Metazoa; Arthropoda; Arachnida; Araneae; Theraphosidae
Description: SSU rRNA
Rfam family: Eukaryotic small subunit ribosomal RNA
Source: RNAcentral
GCCGGUUUCCCUAGAUGAUCUUCACCGGUUGUCCUGGGUGACCGGCACGUUUACUUUGAAAAAAUUAGAGUGCUCAAAGCAGGCGCGUAGCCUGAAUAAUGUUGCAUGGAAUAAUGGAAUAGGACUUCGUUUCUAUUUUGUUGGUUUUCGGAACACGAGGUAAUGAUUAAGAGGGACAGACGGGGGCAUUCGUAUUGCGACGCUAGAGGUGAAAUUCUUGGACCGUCGCAAGACGAACUACUGCGAAAGCAUUUGCCAAGAAUGUUUUCAUUAAUCAAGAACGAAAGUUAGAGGUUCGAAGGCGAUCAGAUACCGCCCUAGUUCUAACCAUAAACGAUGCCAACCAGCGAUCCGCCUGAGUUCCUCAAAUGACUCGGCGGGCAGCUUCCGGGAAACCAAAGUGUUUGGGUUCCGGGGGAAGUAUGGUUGCAAAGCUGAAACUUAAAGGAAUUGACGGAAGGGCACCACCAGGAGUGGAGCCUGCGGCUUAAUUUGACUCAACACGGGCGAACCUACCCGGCCCGGACACUGGAAGGAUUGACAGAUUAAGAGCUCUUUCUUGAUUCAGUGGGUGGUGGUGCAUGGCCGUUCCUAGUUGGUGGAGCGAUUUGUCAGGUUGAUUCCGAUAACGAACGAGACUCUAGCCUACUAAAUAGGCGCCCCGAUCACUUUUGUCGGGCGUUCUUCUUAGAGGGACAAGUGGCGUUUAGCCGCACGAGACAGAGCAAUAACAGGUCUGUGAUGCCCUUAGAUGUCCGGGGCCGCACGCGCGCUACACUGAAGGAAUCAGCGUGUGAUUUCCCUGUCCGGUAGGACUGGGUAACCCGUUCAACCUCCUUCGUGAUAGGGAUAGGGGCUUGUAAUUGUUCCCCUUGAACGAGGAAUUCCCAGUAAGCACGAGUCAUUAGCUCGUGUUGAUUACGUCCCUGCCCUUUGUCCACACCGCCCGUCGCUACUACCGAUUGAAUGAUUUAGUGAGGUCUUCGGACUGGCGCUCGGAGCGGCCGCAAGGUCGCGCCGG